CAUUAAAAAGUUAAUUGUGAAAUUCAAUUUAAUUUGAAGUUAAUAAUUUAUUAAUUUUUUAAUUUUAUAAAUAUUAAUUUAAAUAAAAUAAGUUUUAUUAAAUUAAAAGAAAAAAUUUAGUUUAUGAUAGAAAAUUGUAUUGUGAAAGAAAAUUUUUAAUUUUAAAAAGAAAAAUUUAUUUUUUGUACCUUGUGUAUCAGGGUUUAUUAAAAAUAAUUAUUGAUUUAAUUUUCUCGAAUUUAAAAGAGCUAAAAAAUUAAAAAUUUUAUUGUAAAAUAAAUAAUUUUAAAUAAUUUUUUUGUAAUGAAAUGUUAUUCGUUUUUAAAUAUAUCUAGUUUUUUAAGAAAAAAAUUUAAUUUAUUUAUUUAUUAAUAUAAUUAUAUUUAAAUAUUUUUAUAUUAUUAAUAGAAAAUAUUUUUAGGGAUGAGCUUAAAAAUAAAUUUUUAUUAGAUUAUAAAUUAGGUUAUAAAAUUAGGAUUAAUAAUUUUCAUAUUUAAAAGUAUGUUAUAAUUUAUAUUUAAAAUUAUAAUUUUUAUUUUCUAUAAAUUUUUUAUUAAAAUAUAAAUUUAAAUAUUAAAAAUUUAGAAAUAAUGAUAAAAUUAGUAUAUAUAUAAUUAUAUUGAUAUAAUUUUUUUUAUGGUUAAAUAAAGGAAUUCGGCAAAUUAUUUUUCACCUGUUUAUUAAAAACAUGUCUUUUUGUUUUAAAUUUAAAGUCUGGUCUGCCCUAUGAUUAAUUUAAAUGGCCGCGGUAUUUUGACCGUGCUAAGGUAGCAUAAUCAUUAGUUUUUUAAUUGAAAGCUGGAAUGAAGGGUUGAAUGAAAAAAUAACUGUCUCUAUUUAAUUAUUAUAAAAAUUUAUUUUUAAGUUCAAAAGCUUAAAUUUUAUUAAAAGACGAGAAGACCCUAUAGAGUUUUAUAAUUUUUAGUAUAAAAGAUUUGGAAUUUAUUUUUUUGUAUUUAAAAAUUAUUUGAUUGGGGUGAUUAAAAAAUUUAAUAAACUUUUUUAUUUAAUUAAUAUUAAUUAAUAAAUAUUUGAUCCAAAAAUUUUGAUUAAAAGAUUAAAUUACCUUAGGGAUAACAGCGUAAUUUUAUUAGAGAGUUCUAAUUGAUAAUAAAGAUUGCGACCUCGAUGUUGGAUUAAAAUUUAUAAUUGGUGCAGAAGCUAAUUAAUUAAGUCUGUUCGACUUUUAAAAUUUUACAUGAUCUGAGUUUAAACCGGUGUAAGCCAGGUUGGUUUCUAUCUUUAAUUAAUUUUGAUAUUUUAGUACGAAAGGACCAAAUAAAAUAAUUAAAUUUUUAAUUUUGAAUUAAAUUAAUUAUUUUGGCAGAUUAGUGUAAUAGAUUUAGAAUCUUUAAAUGUAAUUUAUAUUAC
This 1371-nucleotide ribosomal RNA is filed under the name Galeruca macchoi. RNAcentral's name for it is "16S ribosomal RNA". The record is from RNAcentral. Lineage: Eukaryota; Metazoa; Arthropoda; Insecta; Coleoptera; Chrysomelidae.